CCCGGGCCUUGUACACACCGCCCGUCACGUCAUGAAAGUCGGCAACACCCGAAGCCGGUGGCCUAACCCUUGUGGAGGAGCCGUCGAAGGUGGGCUGGCGAUUAGGACG
This 109-nucleotide ribosomal RNA is filed under the name uncultured bacterium. RNAcentral's name for it is "partial 16S ribosomal RNA". It matches the Rfam family "Bacterial small subunit ribosomal RNA", at positions 1373 to 1482 of the family's 1533-position model. The record is from RNAcentral.